CAGCCGCCGCGGUAAUACGUAGGGUGCGAGCGUUAAUCGGAUUUACUGGGCGUAAAGCGUGCGCAGGCGGCCCGUUAAGACAGGUGUGAAAUCCCUGGGCUCAACCUAGGAAUUGCGCUUGUGACUGGCGGGCUCGAGUACGGUAGAGGGGGGUGGAAUUCCUGGUGUAGCAGUGAAAUGCGUAGAGAUCAGGAGGAACACCGAUGGCGAAGGCAGCCCCCUGGGCCUGUACUGACGCUCAUGCACGAAAGCGUGGGGAGCAAACAGGAUUAGAUACCCUGGUAGUCCACGCCCUAAACGAUGGGUACUAGCCGUUUGGUGCGCGAUAGCGCUGAGUGGCGAAGCUAACGCGUGAAGUACCCCGCCUGGGGAGUACGGCCGCAAGGUUGAAACUUAAAGGGAUUGGCGGG
RNAcentral lists this ribosomal RNA (410 nucleotides) under uncultured microorganism. RNAcentral's name for it is "bacterial SSU rRNA". It matches the Rfam family "Bacterial small subunit ribosomal RNA", at positions 509 to 917 of the family's 1533-position model. The record is from RNAcentral.